This 219-nucleotide long non-coding RNA is filed under the name Mytilus galloprovincialis (Mediterranean mussel). Lineage: Eukaryota; Metazoa; Mollusca; Bivalvia; Mytilida; Mytilidae. The record is from RNAcentral.
AUAUGUGUCCGAUUUUCCAAUAAUUAGUUCUGUAGCCCGAGUUGUGACUGGAUUUACAGGUGUGCGAUUGCGCAAUUUAUUGCCCUCCAAUUAAUCACCUGAAAUUAAGCUGGAGGUGAAAGUUCUAAAUGGAUUAUCACUUGGUAAUUGUUUUUACAACUAAACAAAUUACUUUAUUUAAACAGAAGCACUGGGCAAUACUAUGGUAUUCAAUCCGGA